UUGGACUUUUUUGUACUUCAUGUAGCACAAAGUCAUGAUCAAGCUGAAACUACUACUUAAUCUUCUUCUUCAUAGGGGCUCAGACUUGUGUUGAUUAUGUUAUAAAUCAAUAUUAUUCUUGAAGAAACAAACAAGAUUAAUAUUGGUUUAUGUAUGUACCAUAAUGUUGAUCAAAUCAGCAGCUCAGCUUCAGUUUCAGUGAUAAUUUGUUUGUAUGUGAGUUGUAUUUUCUUGGAAGUUCUUGUACUUGAUGUAGUUCAAACUCAAGCUCAAGCUAGUACUAAAGCUCCUAAUGAAGGAAAAUUGUCGAUCUGCAAGUUAAUGGUAUGAUCCCAGAUGAACUAUGGAGUUUGAAUUUCCUUACCCAUCGGGACUUGGCAACAAAUCUCUUGUCAGGUCCACUGUCUCCAUCUGUCAGCAAUCUAACUGCAAUAAAACAUCUGAACUUUCGCCGUAACACAUUAUCUGGGCAGAUUCCAAAAGAGCUUGGCAUGCUUCCUAAGUUAGUAUUCCUAGUAAUCGGAACAAACAACUUCUCGGGUUCUGUGCCACCUGAGCUUUUGUAAUUUGCCAAAUUUUAGAGCAACUUUAUAUGGGAACCUUGAGACUAUCUAGUCCUCUACCCUCUGAGCUUGGUAAUUUGACGAAAUUAAAGGAAUUGUAAGUUGCUUUAGAUGUUUCAGUUUCAUUUUAGAUGCAAAAUAUUGUUUAUAUUGAGCAUAUAUCCUAGUCUAUAAUGUUCUGUACAAUGAUGCAAAAGGUGAAACCCCAGCUGGCUUUAGUCUUCACAUUUAUUGGAGAUUAUACUAUCAUGUGUCCCAUAAUUGUUUACUUGAUGAUGGCUUUUGCUGGAGACAAGUUACUAGAUUGUGAUGGAAUUUAUGGAUAUUAUUUGCCUAGGCAGAUUGAUUGACAGUUCUGGAGUAAAUGGUGAGAUUCCUUCAACUUUUGCCAAUCUAAAGAACCUGGAAACACUGUAAGAACUUUUUUAUUCUGUUAAUCUUCUACUUGGAAUUUUUCUAAUAUAGAUACGCAUUCUGCUGAUGAAAAAUGGCUGGGGUCGGAUCGUAAACAAAUUCUUCUUUUGGGCACAUGUUGGCUUCUGACAUUGAGCUUACAGGAGGGAUCCCUGAUUUUAUAGGAAAUUGGUCGCAUCUUAAAACCUUGAGGUUUCAAGGAAACUCUUUUGAAGGGUCAAUACCCGUCAUCCUUUUCCAAUCUGACUGAGUUGUGAGUGUUCACCUGCAACGUUUCAUUGAUCACAUCUGAAUUUUGCAAUGAUCAAUGCUAACAAUCUCAUGAACAAUGGAAAUGUAGGAGAAUAAGCGAUUUAUUGAAUGGGAGCUCGUCGUUGUCAUUUAUAAGGAAUAUAAAAUCUUUAACUAUCUUAUAAGGCAAUAUUGUCAAAGUUCUAUUAUCUUGUGUUCAAUAACCUGACAUAUAUACUUCUUGUGUUUUUCUUCUUCUUCUUCUUUUAAUCUAGACAGCUGGUUUCAUAUACCGUACAGAACUAAGGAAUAACAAAAUUUCCGAUUCAAUUCUAUAUGACAUUGGCAACUACCAGAGUUUGGUGCAUUUGGAUUUGAGUUUCAACAAUUUAAGUGAUCAGAUUCCCAGCUCGCUUUUCAAUUUGGGUUCUCUAGCUUCCCUGUUUCUUGGAAAUAAUAGGUUAACCGGCACACUGCCUGGCAAUAAAAGUGAAUAGAUGUGUCAUACAACAAUUUAUCAGGUAGCAUUCCUUCUUGGAUAAUCCAACAAAAUUUACAACUGUAAGUCUUCAAACUCUUUGAAAUUUGUUAUACAAAGCAAAAUAUUCUGCUACCUCCACUGUAACAUUUCAUUCAGAACUUACAUUUCUAACAAAGAGUUGUAUAUGCUCUUUGUUCUGUCUCGCUUCAAGAGAAAGAAUAAUAUAUAUUCAGUAUUUUUUUUUUUUUUUUUUUUUUUACUAAAA
This is a long non-coding RNA of Pistacia vera, 1954 nucleotides long. RefSeq lists it as uncharacterized. The record is from RefSeq and is a predicted model, not a curated record. The transcript is spliced from 9 exons. Lineage: Eukaryota; Viridiplantae; Streptophyta; Magnoliopsida; Sapindales; Anacardiaceae.